CAUUUUAUCAUUUAGAUUUUGCUCUGUCUCCUAGUUCGUUUGCAUGCCAAAGAGGAAUUUGGGAAUAAGACUCCUCUUACUUGGCAUUCUAUCCUCCAUAUACCUUCUUCAGAUUUUUGAGCAGUCACUUGGCUAACCAGAUUUUUGAGCAGUCACUUGGCUAACCUAAAUUCCCUUACCCACUUGCUGCACUUUUGCACCCUUCCUGGUUUCCUUCCCUCAUUCUAUAUAUGCCACAAGAUUAAUUUGCUGAAAUCACAAAUAUAAUGAUGCAGUUUCUCUACUCAGACAUCAUUUGUGGCAGUCAUUUAAAUGCCUAGCAUUUUGGGCCUCUUAUAAUGUGACUCUAACUUCCUUUUCUACUCUAAUCCCCUAAUAUUCUUUUUUCAUUCCUGUGCCUUUGUUAAUUAAUUAUUUUCUAUAAGGAAUGUUUGUAUAACCCCACCAGGUUCUCCAGUUUAACUCCUACUCUGUUAGAGAACUGCAAGGCAUACUUGAAUAAAGCUCUAGAUUUUGAGUCAGAUGAUUUGGAUUUGGAUAUCACCUCAAACACAUACUAAAUGGAAGAGCAAGAGAAAUCAUUGACUCAGAUUUCUUACCUAUAAAAUGAAGAUAAAAAUACUAUAAAGUUUCCCACUUUAUAGAGUUGCUAUGGAAAAAGCUCUUUGUUUUUGCCUUGUGGAGCUCUUUUGCUUUGGGGGACUCUUAAUGACUUUCUGACCUUUAGGAGAACAUCCUAAAGGUUCAAAAAUUCUUUCUAUUAAGAUAUAUUCUUAAAGUAAUUUUAGGGAAAGAUGUUGUCAGUGACCCAGUUGAAGAAAAUGCUAUAAGGACUUUGUGAUUCGAGAUGCCUCGGACGAUGACAGCAAUAGAAGAUGCCUCCAGAAAUCAGACACUACAUCAUGACACUGAGUAUAUAUGUUCACAAUGAAAAUUGGUUUGAUAGCAAGUUGGUAUUGGCCUCAGGUAUACCCCUGCAGAUGAAGCCCCCUACUUUGGAAAGUGAAGAAGAGUCUGAGGGACAAGUGCAUUCAUCCUGUUCUGUUGCAAAUCGUGUCUCUGCUUCUUCUUCAUCAGUCUUGAUAUAUGCAACUUUAAGAAGAGCAAGAACAGUAAAUACACAACAGGGGUGGAUACUUUUUUUAUUACCUUCUGUGACAAGACUCUUGAACUUUGGAGUAGCUUUUCCCUGAUAAGGAUCUUGGAGACAGUUCUAUUACAUGUGAAAUUUGGAAAUUCUCUUCUGAGGAAGAAAGAAGAAGCCUUCUUAGUGAUUAAUGAUUCCUUUGGAGACUUGACUAUAACUCAUAUCCUCCUGAAGAUUUUUUCUCUCCAGUUUGAUGAUCCAGUUGGACAGUUUCUAGUUGUUUGUCAUUCCUCAGAUCAGAAUGGUACAUCUUCUGGACUGGUGAGGACAGCAAAUGAUGGUGGCACAGAUCAAUGGCAAGAGUCUGAUUAGAAUGAGAAGAAAUCAUUGGUUCAACCCAGAGACAUUACAGGGGUCUAGGGGCGGGGUACAGUAAUCUCUCCAGGUCUUGUAUUCUGGGGCUGGUAUCUGUGAAUAUGUCCGAUGGCUGUACAUUAGAUAUAUCAAAUUAGAUAUCCUGUAUACAUAUUAAACUCAAUCUAUCCAAAACUAAACUCAUUAUCUUUUCCCCAAAACUCUCCCCUCUUUCAGACUUUUCUAUUAUUUUUUAGGACAUCACCAUGGCACCUAGACAGUCCCCCAGGCACACAAACUAGAUAUUAUAUUUGAUUCCUCAUUAUCUCUCAACCCCCCCUCCAAGCCCAUAUCAAUCUAUUGCCAAC
This 1809-nucleotide long non-coding RNA is filed under the name Monodelphis domestica (gray short-tailed opossum). Its description in RNAcentral is "lncRNA (ENSMODG00000042922.1)". Lineage: Eukaryota; Metazoa; Chordata; Mammalia; Didelphimorphia; Didelphidae. The record is from RNAcentral.